This 313-nucleotide ribosomal RNA is filed under the name Nostoc sp. 3335mG. RNAcentral describes it as "bacterial LSU rRNA". It matches the Rfam family "Bacterial large subunit ribosomal RNA", at positions 1108 to 1413 of the family's 2925-position model. Lineage: Bacteria; Bacillati; Cyanobacteriota; Cyanophyceae; Nostocales; Nostocaceae. The record is from RNAcentral.
AGAAGCAGCCAUCCUUUAAAGAAAGCGUAACAGCUCACUGGUCUAAACAAGGGUUCCUGCGGCGAAGAUGUAACGGGGCUCAAGACACGCACCGAAGCUUAGGGUGUGGCGCUUAUGCGUCACGCGGUAGCGGAGCGUUCCGUACGCCUGUGAAGCGGUCUGGUAAUGGACCGUGGAGGUAUCGGAAGUGCGAAUGCAGACAUGAGUAGCGAUAAAGAGGGUGAGAUGCCCUCUCGCCGAAAGACCAAGGGUUCCUGCGCAAGGCUAAUCCGCGCAGGGUGAGCCGGCCCCUAAGACGAGCCCGAAGGGGGUA